GGGGGAGAAAGGGUGAGAAAGAGAGCAUGUGUCAGCGCAGAGCUGAGGUGAGAGAUUGUUCAUGCAGUGAUGGGGAGGUGAGGAGCGGUUGCCGUGGGACCACCUGCUCCUUGUCUCCCCCCUUUUCCGUCUCCCCCUCUUGCACUCAGAAACACCCGGGCAGGGGGAGAGAAAGGGCGACUUCAAAGCCUCCUCUGUCUCAGGUUUGCUCUGCCUCCUCCCUCUCUGAGUGGGUGAGGAGGAGGAGGAGGAGGAAGCUGCAUGUGUGUGCAGGAGGGAGAGGGAGAAUUUAACAUGCGAUUUUCGAUGUGCAGUUGGCCAUGUCUGUGUUUGUUUUGCUGUGUCCUUCUUUUGUUUAUCUUGUUUGGCUUGGCUGUUUGUUAUUAUCAGGAAUGUGCGCGCGCGCACGUGUGUGUGUGUGUGAACUCAUGUAUGAAAAGAGAGAUGACCAAAAUCCCAGUGUGAGAGACCGCGAUAGGAAAGGAUGAGGGGGAGCUGCAAUGUGUGUGUUGUUUUUUCUUCUUGUUGUGUGGGAAAUUAGAUAACAAAAAAAAAGAGAGAGACUUGUGUGUUUGUGCACGUGUGAAGGUGCGCGCGUGUGUCGUUUUGAUGGAGAGGGACCGAGCCAGGCGCUGCAUGGGGGAGAUAUGUGUGUGUCACUGAUUGUGCCAUGAAUGAAAAUAAGGAGAGGGGGGAGGAGAAGGGGGAGGAGGGAUGGAGGGGGGGCUCACACUCUCCUCCCAUUCAGCCAUCUCCCCCCUCCCCUCUCCUCCUCCUCCUCCUCCUCUUCCUCUUCCUCUUGAGUGACAGAUGAGGAGCUGCUCUGCUCAGGCGCGCGUCAAUAAUUAGCGUCCUCUCAUCUUGUUUUCGUCUUUACGCGCAAAAAAGGAGCGAAGCGUCGCCUUCAUCUCGGUCAUUUUCUGAAUUUCUCCCGGCUUUUCUUCUUCCUCCUCUUCUUCUUCUUCCUCUUCCUCCUCCUCCUCCUCUUCCUCCAACGUUGUGCAAUUACGGCACCGGCCCAUGAUCGCUCCUGGACGCACAGACGCACACAUGGAUAGACGACGAGCACAAGCGCGUACCAAACCUUUUUUUUCACACACACACACACACACACACGUUCAUAAACAAACCAAAAAGAAAAAAAAAAUUGCGAGAGCGCGCACUCAUUUGCAGUCUGUCAGUCAGUCGAGCUCGUGCACGCGCGCCGCGGUUCAAGGGCGAUUGAUUUGGAGUUUAAUUUCUCUCCCGGUGCUCUUGACGCAAAAGGAUGCGCCUCCGUCUGACCUUGAAGACAGAAGAGGGGUGGGGGGGGAGUUUAGUCUCUGUCGCCAGGCUCAACCGCUCACGCACGCGCGCGCGCACGCACGGCAUCGUCACCUGGAAAUGUCAAAACCUUCCACGUGCCGUUACAAAUGACCGCUUUCCAUCUGCUUUCUAAUUAUAGCCGUCAUAAAGGCGAACUCCUAAUUUUAGCUGAAAUAUUUUAAUAAUUCACGAAUUCAGACGCAGAGCUGCUCCCGCUGCUGCUCAGCCGACAGAAAGAAGAAGAAGAAAAAAACAAAAAACAAGCCGGACAGGCCCGAUGUUCAAACAAGCAGCUCCUCACACCUGACAGGUGAAGCUGAAGUUUGUAAAAUCCUCCGUUAGGGGACAGUGGAGGCGAUCAGACUGAGCCCUGAGGCGGGGAUGUGUUAGUCUGACACACCGGCCUCCAGCUCGGGCUGACAGUUUCCCCCUAAAAGCAGGAAAACCGCCAUCAGUCGUUUCCAAGCGGCGCGUUUAUGAGUAUCGGAGAUCAGUAGCGGCAGAUGCGCGGAGCCAAGGCGCGUACGUGAUCGCGCCCGUGUGCUUAUAAAGCAUUUUGGCGCAGCUCUCCUCCCCGGGACGCGUUUGUUUUUGAUCAAUGCGGAUCUGAGUGAAGCGUGAUUUUGCCUACAGCGCCGACAUCAGUGGAGACGGACAGGGGUUAAAAACGACAGGCUCUGAAGACGCGCUUUGAAAAGCUCCUCUCAUCUCAGCUCCACGGACGCGCCGACGCACGCGCACGGAGCUGUUUGGUGUGUGGGGUGCGGGAGUUUGCAUUCCACUCACCAGGAAGGAAGAUAGCAAUCAGUGUGGUGAUUUAUCAACAAAAUCUGGAAAUCAACACUUUAAUUGUUAAGAAGUUUAAUUUCCAGGAAAUACGCAGCCUGAGCCGUGGGGGUCAGGGUCGUGGAGGACUCGAACCACACACACCUCGGAACAAUGGGAAGCAGGACAGGAAGCGGGAUUUGCUCUCUGUUGCCAUAGAGACGGGAGGACAGUGGUGUUGGAUACUGUUGCUAGGCAGGAGAGGCUGCCUCCUGAAUGAGCGCGACAACACCUGCAGCACCAGCCGGAGGCGGCGGUCCAUGGCCUGCAGGUGGGGCUGGAUGAGGACGGGCGACAGGCGGUCACGCAGCAGAGACUCCUCCAUCAGAGAGCUCAGCUGGAACUCCUCUUUGGCCAGCAGCUGGAGACGCAGUCGAAGAUGGUCAUAUCCAUGAUGUCCAGCAGUCGAGUUCCUCGGUCGUACGGAGGCAUCUGCUUGACCUCGUCGCAGUAAUCUGGAUCCACCUCCCACCUGAAGACAAGCACGAAGCGUCUCACCACAUGAUACGUAUUUAACGGCUAGUCAGAGUUUUGUGUUGGUGCUAAAGGUGGUGUUCAGGUGUUUUCUUACU
Long non-coding RNA from Amphiprion ocellaris (clown anemonefish), 2702 nucleotides. RefSeq lists it as uncharacterized. The transcript is spliced from 3 exons. The record is from RefSeq and is a predicted model, not a curated record. NCBI's taxonomy places the organism in Eukaryota, Metazoa, Chordata, Actinopteri, Pomacentridae.